CGCAAGAAACGGCAAGAUACCUGAAAGGGUAUUACGCAAAGCUUCCGGUCUAAGGGUAAUUACCUACGAUAGCGGGGCCACCUAA
Molecule: non-coding RNA, 85 nt
Filed under: Thalassomonas actiniarum
Lineage: Bacteria; Pseudomonadati; Pseudomonadota; Gammaproteobacteria; Alteromonadales; Colwelliaceae
Description: c-di-GMP sequence
Rfam family: c-di-GMP-I riboswitch aptamer
About the family: GEMM was predicted in a large-scale screen for bacterial structured RNA regulatory elements. Genes associated with GEMM are involved in a diverse array of functions, including chemotaxis regulation, signal transduction, secretion and chitin.
Source: Rfam by way of RNAcentral